RNAcentral lists this non-coding RNA (21 nucleotides) under Arabidopsis thaliana (thale cress). The record is from RNAcentral. Lineage: Eukaryota; Viridiplantae; Streptophyta; Magnoliopsida; Brassicales; Brassicaceae.
CUUGGCGGAGUUCAGGAUGUG